Molecule: non-coding RNA, 23 nt
Filed under: Fusarium oxysporum
Lineage: Eukaryota; Fungi; Ascomycota; Sordariomycetes; Hypocreales; Nectriaceae
Also listed under: 20 other names
Source: RNAcentral
GUGAACCAGCGGAGGGAUCAUUA